GGACCCGCACAAGUAGUGGAGCAUGUGGUUUAAUUCGAAGAUACGCGCAGAACCUUACCAACACUUGACAUGUUCGUCGCGACUUUAAGAGAUUAAAGUUUUCGGUUCGGCCGGACGAAACACAGGUGCUGCAUGGCUGUCGUCAGCUCGUGUCGUGAGAUGUUGGGUUAAGUCCCGCAACGAGCGCAACCCUCACUUUUAGUUGCCAUCAUUAAGUUGGGCACUCUGAAAGAACUGCCAGUGAUAAGCUGGAGGAAGGUGGGGAUGACGUCAAGUCCUCAUGGCCCUUACGUGUUGGGCUACACACGUGCUACAAUGGUAUCUACAACGAGUCGCAAUACCGCGAGGUGGAGCAAAUCUCUUAAAGCUUGUCUCAGUUCGGAUAGGAGUCUGCAACUCGACUCCUUGAAGUUGGAGUCGCUAGUAAUCG
Molecule: ribosomal RNA, 430 nt
Filed under: uncultured bacterium
Lineage: Bacteria
Description: bacterial SSU rRNA
Rfam family: Bacterial small subunit ribosomal RNA
Source: RNAcentral